GACUUCAAACGAUACGUUUCAAGCUGGAACCACAAUUACGAAGACCCCUUCAUCACCAUGACGAAAACCUCCACCAUGUCUCAGGAAUCUCCAGCAUUUGCUUCACAGUGUGAAAAUGGGGGUCAAAUACAGAAACACAGGCCUACUGACAUCAGAUGACAAAGAAAAGACCAAAUUCUAAAUCCAUCACUGGGUUCAGAACCAUUCUAAGACUGGAGCACUGAGAUGACAAGUAGCCUGACAUUAUAUCAUCCUAUUGUAAAGAGAAG
This is a long non-coding RNA of Polypterus senegalus (gray bichir), 269 nucleotides long. RefSeq lists it as uncharacterized. The record is from RefSeq and is a predicted model, not a curated record. NCBI's taxonomy places the organism in Eukaryota, Metazoa, Chordata, Cladistia, Polypteriformes, Polypteridae. The transcript is spliced from 3 exons.